Molecule: ribosomal RNA, 366 nt
Filed under: uncultured soil bacterium
Lineage: Bacteria
Description: bacterial SSU rRNA
Rfam family: Bacterial small subunit ribosomal RNA
Source: RNAcentral
AGGACGAACGCUGGCGGCGUGCCUAACACAUGCAAGUCGAGCGAGAUCCAUCUAGUGGCAACACUGGGGAAGAUCGAGCGGCGAACGGGUGAGUAACACGUGAGAAAUCUGCCCCGAAGACUGGGAUAACCCGAGGAAACUCGGGCUAAUACCGGAUACCCCCAUUGAACCGCAUGGUUCGAUGAGGAAAUGACUCCGACGCUUCGGGAGAUCUCGCGGCCUAGUCAGCUAGUUGGUGAGGUAACGGCUACACCAAGGCUUCGACGGGUAGCUGGUCUGAGAGGACGAUCAGCCACACGUGGACUGAGACACGGCCAGACUCGUACGGAGCAGCAGGUGGGAAUCGUUGCGUCAAGUAGGGACGAA